GAUUAUUUAGUUUAUACAAAACAAAUAUUUUGAAAGUAUUAAAAAAGAGAACACCUCUUAAUAAUCA
Molecule: transfer RNA, 67 nt
Filed under: Epixanthus frontalis
Lineage: Eukaryota; Metazoa; Arthropoda; Malacostraca; Decapoda; Oziidae
Description: tRNA-Ser
Source: RNAcentral